This 584-nucleotide ribosomal RNA is filed under the name Hansenula anomala. Its description in RNAcentral is "eukaryotic LSU rRNA". The stretch from base 179 to 332 matches the Rfam family "5.8S ribosomal RNA". Lineage: Eukaryota; Fungi; Ascomycota; Saccharomycetes; Phaffomycetales; Wickerhamomycetaceae. The record is from RNAcentral.
AAAGAGAUUAUGCACGCUUAUUCGCGGCGAUAAACCUUACACACAUUGUCUAGUUUUUUUGAACUUUGCUUUGGGUGCAUCAGCCUAGCUGCGUGCCCAAAGGUCUAAACACAUUUUUUAAUGUUAAAACCUUUAACCAAUAGUCAUGAAAAUUUUUAACAAAAAUUAAAAUCUUCAAAACUUUCAACAACGGAUCUCUUGGUUCUCGCAACGAUGAAGAACGCAGCGAAAUGCGAUACGUAUUGUGAAUUGCAGAUUUUCGUGAAUCAUCGAAUCUUUGAACGCACAUUGCACCCUCUGGUAUUCCAGAGGGUAUGCCUGUUUGAGCGUCAUUUCUCUCUCAAACCUUCGGGUUUGGUAUUGAGUGAUACUCUGUCAAGGGUUAACUUGAAAUAUUGACUUAGCAAGAGUGUACUAAUAAGCAGUCUUUCUGAAAUAAUGUAUUAGGUUCUUCCAACUCGUUAUAUCAGCUAGGCAGGUUUAGAAGUAUUUUAGGCUCGGCUUAACAACAAUAAACUAAAAGUUUGACCUCAAAUCAGGUAGGACUACCCGCUGAACUUAAGCAUAUCAUAGNCCGGAGGAAA